RNAcentral lists this ribosomal RNA (253 nucleotides) under uncultured bacterium. Its description in RNAcentral is "partial 16S ribosomal RNA". It matches the Rfam family "Bacterial small subunit ribosomal RNA", at positions 524 to 776 of the family's 1533-position model. The record is from RNAcentral.
UACGUAGGGCGCAAGCGUUGUCCGGAAUUCUUGGGCGUAAAGAGCUCGUAGGCGGUUUGUCACGUCGGCUGUGAAACCCUGGGGCUCAACCCCGGGCCUGCAGCCGAUACGGGCUGACUAGAAUUCGGUAGGGGAGUCUGGAAUUCCUGGUGUAGCGGUGAAAUGCGCAGAUAUCAGGAGGAACACCGGUGGCGAAGGCGGGACUCUGGGCCGAUAUUGACGCUGAGGAGCGAAAGCGUGGGGAGCGAACAGG